Molecule: ribosomal RNA, 253 nt
Filed under: uncultured bacterium
Lineage: Bacteria
Description: partial 16S ribosomal RNA
Rfam family: Bacterial small subunit ribosomal RNA
Source: RNAcentral
UACGAAGGGGGCUAGCGUUGUUCGGAAUUAUUGGGCGUAAAGGGUAGGUAGGUGGUCUCAUUUGUCUGGGGUGAAAGCCUUGGGCUUAACUCAAGAAGUGCCCCAGAAACGGUGAGACUGGAGUCCUGGAGAGGGUCGUGGAAUUCCCGGUGUAGCGGUGAAAUGCGUAGAGAUCGGGAGGAACACCAGAGGCGAAGGCGGCGACCUGGACAGGUACUGACACUCAACUACGAAAGCGUGGGGAGCAAACAGG